CAUGGAAGAAUGUUGGGUUUUGGUUGUAAUCGAUCGAGGGGUGGACUGCUAGGCUACUUCCUUCCAGACAGUUUGGAUACAUCGUGCUCACGACAUCAGCCGGCAUCAUGGACCAUGAAGAAGCAA
This is a long non-coding RNA of Hibiscus syriacus, 126 nucleotides long. RefSeq lists it as uncharacterized. Lineage: Eukaryota; Viridiplantae; Streptophyta; Magnoliopsida; Malvales; Malvaceae. The record is from RefSeq and is a predicted model, not a curated record. The transcript has 2 exons.